CAACACCAGUAGCCACCCUACGCCCUCAUCAGCGUAUACAAAAGGAAUCUCCCCCCCCCCCAACUCUUCCUCUAGUGUCUCGAACCGGCCACCACAUAGUAGCACCCUUCCCCCUCUUCGCCUCUCGGUCUCGCUCCCUUCUCAUUCCUAUAGCCCGCUUUCUCUGCCCUGCCUGUCCCCUUCGCCCUCACCCACAAGCACAAUGGCCUCUAUUGAGAAGAUUGCCAACUGCAUCCGCUGCCUCGCGGCAGACAUUGUGCAGGGUGGCAAGAGUGGUCACCCGGGCACGCCGAUGGGCAUGGCGCCAGUGUCAGCGGUCCUGUGGACGGAAGUGAUGAAGUACAACAGCCAGGAUCCUAACUGGGUCGACCGCGACCGCUUCGUCAUGUCGAACGGGCACGGCUGCGCGCUGCAGUACGCCCUGCUGCACAUGGCCGGCUACGACCUUACCAUGGACGACCUGAAGGGAUUCCGCCAAGAUGGCUCGCGCACCCCUGGUCACCCCGAGCGUUUCGUGACGCCCGGGGUGGAGGUGACGACCGGGCCGCUUGGCCAGGGUAUUGCAAACGCGGUCGGACUGGCGAUGGCCGAGUCGCACCUUGCCGCCAGGUUCAACCGCCCGGGACACGAGCUCGUCAAUCACUACACUUACGUGUACUGUGGUGAUGGCUGUCUGAUGGAGGGUGUGUGCCAGGAGGCGCUCUCCCUCGCCGGCCACCUCGCCCUGGAGAAACUCAUCGUCAUCUACGACAGCAACUACAUCUGCAUCGAUGGCGCGACAAACCUCUCCUUCACGGAGCAGUCCCACCAGAAGUACGUGUCCAUGGGUUUCCAUGUGAUCGAGGUCGAAAACGGUGACACUGACUACGACGGCCUGCGCAAGGCGUUGGCGGAGGCCAAGGCCACGAAGGGGAAGCCGAAGAUGAUUGUGCAAACCACAACGAUCGGGUUCGGGUCUUCGAAGCAGGGAACGGAGAAGGUGCACGGCGCGCCGCUGGGUGAGGAGGAUAUUGCCAACGUCAAGACGAAGUUUGGCCGCGACCCGAACAAGAAGUACGACGUCGACGAAGACGUCCGCGCUGUGUUCAAGAUGCACAUGGAGAAGUGUUCCGCGGAGCAGAAGGCGUGGGAGGAACGCUUGGCGAAGUACACGGCCGCGUUCCCGGCCGAGGGUGCCGCCUUUGUGGCGCAGAUGAAGGGCGAGCUGCCGUCCGGGUGGGAGGCGAAGCUGCCGACGAACUCCUCGGCCAUCGCGACGCGCAAGGCGAGCGAGAAUUGCCUGGCUGUGCUCUUCCCGGCCAUCCCGGCCCUCAUGGGAGGGUCGGCUGACCUCACGCCGAGCAACCUGACGCGCCCCGCGUCGGCAAACUUGGUGGACUUCUCGUCGAGCAGCAACGAGGGUCGCUACAUUCGCUUCGGUGUCCGUGAACACGCCAUGUGCGCCAUCCUCAACGGUCUCGACGCCCACGGUGGUAUCAUCCCGUUCGGCGGCACCUUCCUCAACUUCAUCGGCUACGCCCUUGGUGCGGUGCGCCUCGCCGCGAUCUCCCACCACCGUGUCAUCUACGUGGCGACACACGACAGCAUCGGGGUUGGCGAGGACGGGCCGACCCACCAACCUGUCGAGUUGGUGGCUGCCCUGCGUGCCAUGCCAAACCUGCAGGUGAUGCGUCCUAGCGACCAGACAGAGACGAGCGGUGCGUGGGCUGUUGCGUUGUCUAGUGCCCACACUCCGACGGUUCUGUGUCUGAGCCGCCAGAACACCGUGCCGCAGUCGGGGUCGAGCAUCGAUGGUGUGAAGCGCGGUGCCUACGCAGUGGUGGAGGUGCCCGACCCGCAGCUCGUAAUCGUGGCGAGCGGCUCGGAGGUGUCGCUGGCGGUGGAUGCUGCCAAGGUACUCUCGGGUGAGCUGUGCGUGAGGGUUGUGUCGAUGCCGUGCCAGGAGCUCUUCGACGCGCAACCGGAUGCGUACCGCAAGUCUGUGCUCACCGAAGGUGUGCCGGUGGUGUCGGUGGAGGCGUACGUCAGCUUCGGCUGGGAGAAAUACUCCCAUGCGCAUGUGGGGAUGUCUGGCUUCGGUGCCUCGGCCCCGGCGGGUGUGCUAUACAAGAAGUUCGGCAUUACCGUCGAGGAAGUGGUGGAGACGGCCCGCAGGCUGACCGCGCGCUUCCCCAAUCGCACGGCGCCGCUCAAGAACUCCUCAUUCAGCAAGAUGUGAGACGGCGCUCCGAAGCGUGACGGAUGACCCCGGAGGAGGCGGGCAGGGAGAAUGGAGAUGGAGGAUUGUUGCUGGCGAUGGCGGCGCCGCUUUCCCCUGACCUCUCUUCCCCCCUUAUCGUAACUCUCUACCGUGAGCGAUAUGGUCGAUUACGCUCACACAUCAACGCGUACAUGUUAUGCACGAUGAUGCAAUGUAGUAUGUCGGCGUCUGUUCGCAUACACGUGUGCAUGUGCUGGUCUAUCUUCGUCCCCACCCACCCCUACCCCCUUCCUCUGCCACUCGCCGGUCAUGGCUUUUUGGUGUGUCUCCUUGCCUAUUCCCCUUUCUUGGGGCUGGUGCUUGAUUGAUGUUUCCUCUUCUGUUAUUAUCUUGCCUUGACCUGUGCGUGUCGCUCUCUAGCUCUCUACCCACCCACCCACUCAUCCCCUUCUUGCCGCCUCUUCUCUUUGUCUGGUGUGCUUCUUCCGGGGCGCGCUGGGGUGGCGUGCAUGCCUUCCUCACACUCCUCUCUUCCCCGUGGUGGGGCUCUAUGUGUGUGGGGGGAUGUAUGAGUGGAGUGGACACCUCAUUUUAUGCUUCGUCUUUCUUUUCAUCAGUGCGGGAGUCGAGCUGCAUGGCGCAUGCUUGCGUCGUGCGCCGGUAUCGGGAGGGCAAGGAAGUCCUAUCGUGCCCGUGACAGCGCCAUGAGCGCACGUCGGUUUGUGCGUGAGCACGCGUGAGUGUGUGCCUCGGUAGACCUUGACCCACCGGCUUACGCACCCCAGCGACGAAACAACGGGUGCUGGCGCGAUAGAGCGGGUGAAGGUGUUUCCUCGCCUUCAGCAGAGAGGCCCUGCUCUCUGCCCCCCCCCAUCACCACCACCACCUUCCUGCCUCCCUCCCGCAGCGCUCUUCUCUCGCUCCCUUUUCCUUUUUAUCUGACUUUCCUAUCUCAUGUGCUCAUGGGCGCGACCCGCUGCGCAG
Molecule: unclassified non-coding RNA, 3184 nt
Filed under: Leishmania donovani
Lineage: Eukaryota; Euglenozoa; Kinetoplastea; Trypanosomatida; Trypanosomatidae
Description: gene:LdHU3.24.2610(CDS-product:transketolase)
Source: RNAcentral